Molecule: ribosomal RNA, 345 nt
Filed under: uncultured Desulfobulbus sp.
Lineage: Bacteria; Pseudomonadati; Thermodesulfobacteriota; Desulfobulbia; Desulfobulbales; Desulfobulbaceae
Description: bacterial SSU rRNA
Rfam family: Bacterial small subunit ribosomal RNA
Source: RNAcentral
CUGCAUGGCGUGUCGUCAGCUCGUGUCGUGAGAUGUUGGGUUAAGGUCCCGCAACGAGCGCAACCCUUGCCUUUAGUUGCCAGCAGUUCGGCUGGGCACUCUAAAGGGAACUGCCGGUGUUAAACCGGAGGAAGGUGGGGAGUGACGUCAAGUCCUCAUGGCCUUUAUGACCAGGGCUACACACGUACUACAAUGGCCGAUACAAAGGGCAGCGACACUGCGAGGUGAAGCCAAUCCCGUAAAAUCGGUCUCAGUCCGGAUUGGAGUCUGCAACUCGACUCCAUGAAGUUGGAAUCGCUAGUAAUCGUGGAUCAGCAUGCCACGGUGAAUACGUUCCCGGGCCUU